UACGGAGGGUGCAAGCGUUGCUCGGAAUUAUUGGGCGUAAAGGGUAGGUAGGUGGUCUCAUUUGUCUGGGGUGAAAUCCUUGAGCUUAACUCAAGAAGUGCCCUAGAAACGGUGAGACUUUCGAGUCCUGGAGAGGCUAGUGGAAUUCCCGGUGUAGCGGUGAAAUGCGUAGAGAUCGGGAGGAACACCAGAGGCGAAGGCGGCUAGCUGGACAGGCACUGACGCUGAACAGCGAAAGCUAGGGGAGCAAACGGG
RNAcentral lists this ribosomal RNA (255 nucleotides) under uncultured bacterium. RNAcentral describes it as "partial 16S ribosomal RNA". It matches the Rfam family "Bacterial small subunit ribosomal RNA", at positions 524 to 776 of the family's 1533-position model. The record is from RNAcentral.